Non-coding RNA from Kogia breviceps (pygmy sperm whale), 227 nucleotides. Lineage: Eukaryota; Metazoa; Chordata; Mammalia; Artiodactyla; Physeteridae. The record is from RefSeq and is a predicted model, not a curated record.
UGGGAGGGAGGGAGAUGCAAGAGGGAAGAGAUAUGGGAACAUAUGUGUAUGUAUAACUGAUUCACUUUGUUGUAAAGCAGAAACUAACACACCAUUGUAAAGCAAUUAUACUCCAAUAAAGAUGUUAAAAAAAAAAAGUGGCCCCCGCUUGCCGCAACUAGAGAAAGCCCUCGCACAGAAACGAAGACCCAACACAGCCAAAAAUAAGAUAAAUAAAUUUAUUAAAU